Non-coding RNA from Oryctolagus cuniculus (rabbit), 1108 nucleotides. The record is from RefSeq and is a predicted model, not a curated record. Lineage: Eukaryota; Metazoa; Chordata; Mammalia; Lagomorpha; Leporidae.
UAGCUGCCGGGCGCGCGCAGGAGCGUGAGGUCAAGGUGAACGCGCACGUCGGGCGCCCCGCCCCUUUCCUCCCUUCUCGGCUUCUAGAGCCUCUUUUGCGCAAGUACAGUUGGAGUCUCGCGAUAGCUAUGCCGCACAUUAAUGAAGACAGGAUUGGCUGACGUCCAGAAGAAAGAGGCGGGACAGUAAGCAAAUAUAGGCAGCAUCGCAGGGGCGGGGUUCUGCUUGCCGCCGGAAGCAAGAGGUAGUUAAAUCAUUUGUAUAUUUAGUAAGAAAGCAGAAAAGAAUUCUCCAGAACUUAUCUACUUAAUUACUUCAAGAAAGAAGUGACUUAUUAGCUCCCAACUGUGAAACACCUGUUCACCUCAGCAACAUUGAAUUCAUCCACCUGUUAGAUACUAGAAAUCUGAUGACAUUCUGCAAAUGAGAUCAACUGAUUGGACCUAAGUAGAUCACUGUCCAUACAGGUCGACUGCUUCUUCUUGAAAGUAUAAAGGAGAAGAAUAUAAUCAAGAACACAAAUCAGAGAUGAUAAAACAAAGUCCAGUGAGAAGGCUAUUAACAAAUUAUGUUUUACUGAUGGGGUCCAGAUUUCCAGGUGAUACAGGCAAGGAAAGCAGUGGAAGAUGGACCACAUGCCUGGGCCGCUGCAUCCGUGUGAGAAACCUGAAGGAAGCUCCUGGCUCAGUUCCUGACUUCGGAUUGGCUUAGUUCCAGCUGUUGCAGCCAUUUGGGGAAUGAACCAGCAGAUGAAGACCUUUCUCUCUGUCUCUCCCUCUCUCUGUCUGUAACUCUACCUCUCAAAUAAAUACAUUUUAAAAAAUAAAGGAGACACGCCAAGGGACCUGCAAUGCCAACAUCCCAUGUGGGUGCCGGUUCUUGUCCUAGCUGCUCCAUUUCUGAUCCAGUUCCCUGUUAAUGGCCUUGGAAAAGCAGCAGAACAUUGCCUAAGAAUUUGGGCCCCUGCCACCCAUGUGGGAGACCCAGAUGAAGCUCCUGGCUCCUGGAUUUGGUCUGGCCCACCCCUGGACAUUGAGGCCAUCUGGGGAUGAAACAACAGAUGGAAGAUCUCUCUCUCACUCUCUCUCUCUCUGUCUCACUCUCUCCC